Molecule: non-coding RNA, 115 nt
Organism: Triticum aestivum (bread wheat)
Lineage: Eukaryota; Viridiplantae; Streptophyta; Magnoliopsida; Poales; Poaceae
Source: Rfam
AAGAUACUCCCUUCGUUCGGAAUUAUUUGUCGCAGAAAUGGAUGUAUCUAGAUGUAUUUUAAUUUUAGAUACAUUCAUAUUCGAGACAAGUAAUUCCGAACGGAGGGAGUACCUA